UACGUAGGGUGCAAGCGUUGUCCGGAAUUAUUGGGCGUAAAGAGCUCGUAGGCGGUUUGUCGCGUCGGCUGUGAAAACUCGGGGCUCAACCCCGAGCCUGCAGUCGAUACGGGCAAACUAGAGUGUGGUAGGGGAGACUGGAAUUCCUGGUGUAGCGGUGAAAUGCGCAGAUAUCAGGAGGAACACCGGCGGCGAAGGCGGGUCUCUGGGCCAUAACUGACGCUGAGGAGCGAAAGCGUGGGGAGCGAACAG
Molecule: ribosomal RNA, 252 nt
Filed under: uncultured bacterium
Lineage: Bacteria
Description: partial 16S ribosomal RNA
Rfam family: Bacterial small subunit ribosomal RNA
Source: RNAcentral